UACGUAGGGUGCGAGCGUUAAUCGGAAUUACUGGGCGUAAAGGGUGCGCAGGCGGUCCUGCAAGUCAGGCGUGAAAGCCCGGGGCUUAACCCCGGAAUUGCACCUCAAACUACAUGGCUAGAGCAUUGGAGAGGGUAGCGGAAUUCACGGUGUAGCAGUGAAAUGCGUAGAUAUCGUGAGGAACACCAGAGGCGAAGGCGGCUACCUGGACAAUUGCUGACGCUCAGGCACGAAAGCGUGGGGAGCAAAAGGG
RNAcentral lists this ribosomal RNA (253 nucleotides) under uncultured bacterium. RNAcentral's name for it is "partial 16S ribosomal RNA". It matches the Rfam family "Bacterial small subunit ribosomal RNA", at positions 524 to 776 of the family's 1533-position model. The record is from RNAcentral.